Molecule: ribosomal RNA, 252 nt
Filed under: uncultured bacterium
Lineage: Bacteria
Description: partial 16S ribosomal RNA
Rfam family: Bacterial small subunit ribosomal RNA
Source: RNAcentral
UACGGAGGGGGCGAGCGUUAUCCGGAUUCAUUGGGCGUAAAGCGCGCGUAGGCGGCCGCCUAAGCGGAACCUCUAACCCCGGGGCUCAACCUCGGGCCGGGUUCCGGACUGGGCGGCUCGAGUGCGGUAGAGGAGAGCGGAAUUCCCGGUGUAGCGGUGGAAUGCGCAGAUAUCGGGAAGAACACCGAUGGCGAAGGCAGCUCUCUGGGCCGUCACUGACGCUGGGGCGCGAAAGCUGGGGGAGCGAACAGG